UACAGAGGGGGCAAGCGUUGUUCGGAAUUACUGGGCGUAAAGGGCGCGUAGGCGGCCUGCUAAGUCGGACGUGAAAUCCCCGGGCUUAACCCGGGAACUGCGUCCGAUACUGGCUGGCUUGAAUCCGGGAGAGGGAUGCGGAAUUCCAGGUGUAGCGGUGAAAUGCGUAGAUAUCUGGAGGAACACCGGUGGCGAAGGCGGCAUCCUGGACCGGUAUUGACGCUGAUGCGCGAAAGCCAGGGGAGCAAACGGG
This 253-nucleotide ribosomal RNA is filed under the name uncultured bacterium. RNAcentral's name for it is "partial 16S ribosomal RNA". It matches the Rfam family "Bacterial small subunit ribosomal RNA", at positions 524 to 776 of the family's 1533-position model. The record is from RNAcentral.